AUUAAAUCUAUUUUUUAGUUUUUAGAUACAAUAUUUUAACUCUUUGUUUUAUUUGAAAUUUUUUAUGAUUAAUAUUUUUAUUAUUAUUAGACGGUAAAACAUAAAUAGUACUUUAUGCGUCACUAAUUCUUUUAAGUUUUUACAAAUUUUUUAAAUAAGAUAAAUGGUCAAAACGUUGGACACAAAAAUCAAAAAAUAAAGUUAUU
Molecule: microRNA precursor, 206 nt
Filed under: Oryza brachyantha (malo sina)
Lineage: Eukaryota; Viridiplantae; Streptophyta; Magnoliopsida; Poales; Poaceae
Description: MIR812 microRNA precursor family
Rfam family: MIR812 microRNA precursor family
Source: Rfam by way of RNAcentral